Camelina sativa (false flax) is the source of this 241-nucleotide non-coding RNA. Lineage: Eukaryota; Viridiplantae; Streptophyta; Magnoliopsida; Brassicales; Brassicaceae. The record is from RefSeq and is a predicted model, not a curated record.
UUUUUUUCAGCUAAUUUUGGUUGAAUUUAGAAUAUUUUUGAUUCACAGCUUCUCUCUGUUAUGUGUCAGAUCCAGUUUAAAUGGAACCAGCUCAGUUUAAUGAGAUGAGAUGAGAUGUUCAGCUUGCAUAAGAUGGCUUUGGCUUUUACUCUGUUGGUUUUUGCCUGCUUAUGCUCGUUUGUGUCUUCAGAUGCUCAAGGGGAUGCACUGUUUGCGUUGAGGAUCUCGUUACGUGCAUUGC